GACGAACGCUGGCGGCGUGCCUAAUACAUGCAAGUAGAACGCUGAAGGAGGAGCUUGCUUCUCUGGAUGAGUUGCGAACGGGUGAGUAACGCGUAGGUAACCUGCCUGGUAGCGGGGGAUAACUAUUGGAAACGAUAGCUAAUACCGCAUAAGAGUAGAUGUUGCAUGAAAUUUUCUUAAAAGGUGCAAUUGCAUCACUACCAGAUGGACCUGCGUUGUAUUAGCUAGUUGGUGGGGUAACGGCUCACCAAGGCGACGAUACAUAGCCGACCUGAGAGGGUGAUCGGCCACACUGGGACGGAGACACGGCCCAGACUCCUACGGGAGGCAGCAGUAGGGAAUCUUCGGAAAUGGACGGAAGUCUGACCGAGCAACGCCGCGUGAGUGAAGAAGGUUUUCGGAUCGUAAAGCUCUGUUGUAAGAGAAGAACGAGUGUGAGAGUGGAAAGUUCACACUGUGACGGUAUCUUACCAGAAAGGGACGGCUAACUACGUG
This 495-nucleotide ribosomal RNA is filed under the name uncultured bacterium. Its description in RNAcentral is "partial 16S ribosomal RNA". It matches the Rfam family "Bacterial small subunit ribosomal RNA", at positions 28 to 507 of the family's 1533-position model. The record is from RNAcentral.